AAGUCGUAACAAGGUUUCCGUAGGUGAACCUGCGGAAGGAUCAUUAUCCUUUAGCUUAGUAAUCUAAACAGUUACUAAAAGCGCAUGCACCUAAGUGUUGCGUAAAAAUGCACAGUGGAGCUGCCUCGCCAGGUCCACUACUCCAAACCCAUGCUCGCUAUCGAGUAUGGUCGGGUACCUAUGCUACGCAAGUAGUGUAAGCGGCAGAUGCGUGUCUGCCGUGUGGUGUAAAGAUCAUUCGAGGCCCUUUCGAAUGACGCCCGCCUAGCAAAACUUUUUAUACCAAUUAAUCACACUUAUUAUGUUGUAUGUGUAAAGCACUAUCUCGUACUACUAUGAGAUAAUAACACAAAUACAACCCUAUGCGGUGGAUCAUUUGGCUC
Molecule: unclassified non-coding RNA, 383 nt
Filed under: fungal sp.
Lineage: Eukaryota; Fungi
Description: partial internal transcribed spacer region
Rfam family: Eukaryotic small subunit ribosomal RNA (bases 1-46)
Source: RNAcentral